This 290-nucleotide small nuclear RNA is filed under the name Echinops telfairi (small Madagascar hedgehog). Its description in RNAcentral is "7SK RNA (ENSETEG00000024428.1)". It matches the Rfam family "7SK RNA". From Rfam's summary of the family: 7SK was discovered as an abundant small nuclear RNA in the mid-70s but a possible function has only recently been suggested. Two independent studies have found that 7SK RNA binds the CDK9/cyclin T complex (known as elongation factor P-TEFb). The record is from RNAcentral. Lineage: Eukaryota; Metazoa; Chordata; Mammalia; Afrosoricida; Tenrecidae.
GGAGGUCAGCGUGCGCUGGCUGCGACAUGUGUCACCGCAUUGCUCACCAGGGUUGACUCAAUUGAUCUGGCUGGUUGGGCAGAUGUCCCUUUCCUCCCUCACCACUCCAUGUGUGUCCCCUCUGAAGCUGCACCCUUGGUGGAAGAGGAUGGUCACCCCCCAUAGAAGGUAGACCACCCUUUGGUCAAGGGCAUACUGAUAGCUGCGCUCCCCUGCCAGCAGCUCCAGACUAGCUCCCAAGACCAUGGGCUUCAUGGGAUAAGGCAAUGUUUGCGGUUUGACUGCUUUUC